RNAcentral lists this ribosomal RNA (497 nucleotides) under uncultured bacterium. Its description in RNAcentral is "partial 16S ribosomal RNA". It matches the Rfam family "Bacterial small subunit ribosomal RNA", at positions 28 to 507 of the family's 1533-position model. The record is from RNAcentral.
GAUGAACGCUGGCGGCGUGCCUAAUACAUGCAAGUCGAGCGAACGGACGAGAAGCUUGCUUCUCUGAUGUUAGCGGCGGACGGGUGAGUAACACGUGGAUAACCUACCUAUAAGACUGGGAUAACUUCGGGAAACCGGAGCUAAUACCGGAUAAUAUUUUGAACCGCAUGGUUCAAAAGUGAAAGACGGUCUUGCUGUCACUUAUAGAUGGAUCCGCGCUGCAUUAGCUAGUUGGUAAGGUAACGGCUUACCAAGGCAACGAUGCAUAGCCGACCUGAGAGGGUGACCGGCCACACUGGAACUGAGAAACGGUCCAGACUCCUACGGGAGGCAGCAGUAGGGAAUCUUCCGCAAUGGGCGAAAGCCUGACGGAGCAACGCCGCGUGAGUGAUGAAGGUCUUCGGAUCGUAAAACUCUGUUAUUAGGGAAGAACAUAUGUGUAAGUAACUGUGCACAUCUUGACGGUACCUAAUCAGAAAGCCACGGCUAACUACGUG